This 416-nucleotide ribosomal RNA is filed under the name uncultured bacterium. RNAcentral describes it as "partial 16S ribosomal RNA". It matches the Rfam family "Bacterial small subunit ribosomal RNA", at positions 360 to 773 of the family's 1533-position model. The record is from RNAcentral.
AAUAUUGGUCAAUGGAGGCAACUCUGCACCAGCCACGUCGCGUGAAGGAUGACGGCCCUACGGGUUGUAAACUUCUUUUAUACAGGAAUAAAGUGAGUCACGUGUGACUUCUUGCAUGUACUGUAUGAAUAAGCAUCGGCUAACUCCGUGCCAGCAGCCGCGGUAAUACGGAGGAUCCAAGCGUUAUCCGGAUUUAUUAGGUUUAAAGGGUGCGCAGGCGGAAGACUAAGUCGGCAGUGAAAUUUUGCAGGUCAACUGUAAAAGUGCCAUCGAUACUGGUUUUCUUGAGUGUGGAUGAAGUAGGCGGAAUUUGUGGUGUAGCGGUGAAAUGCAUAGAUAUCACGAGGAACUCCGAUUUCGCAGGCAGCUUACUAGGCCAUAACUGACACUCAGGCACGAAGGCGUGGGGAUCAAAC